GGAAGUAAAAGUCGUAACAAGGUUUCCGUAGGUGAACCUGCGGAAGGAUCAUUAUUGAAUAAGUUUGGUUAGGUUGUAGCUGGCUCUUAGGAGCAAUGUGCACACCUGCCAUUUUUUACUUCUCCACCUGUGCACCUUUUGUAGAUUUUGAAACAAUUUUUUGAGGUUUGCUGUGCGAAAGCCGGCUCUCCUUGUGUUUCUUGUCUACGUUUUUCAUAUACCAUUAGUAUGUUACAGAACGUUUGUCAAUGGGCUUAUGCCUAUAAAACAAUAUACAACUUUCAGCAACGGAUCUCUUGGCUCUCGCAUCGAUGAAGAACGCAGCGAAAUGCGAUAAGUAAUGUGAAUUGCAGAAUUCAGUGAAUCAUCGAAUCUUUGAACGCACCUUGCGCUCCUUGGUACUCCGAGGAGCAUGCCUGUUUGAGUGUCAUUAAAUUAUCAACCUUUCCAUAAUUUUUUUCAAAUUAUUGGUUAGGCUUGGAUGUGAGGGAUUUUGCAGGCUUCUCAAAAGUCAGCUCCCUUUAAAUUUAUUAGUCGAACCUUUGUCGAACUGUCUAAUGGUGUGAUAAUUAUCUACGCUAUUGACUAGACAUUAAUAGGAUUCAGCUUAUAACAGUCCAUUUAACUUGGACAAUUUUUGACAAUUUGACCUCAAAUCAGGUAGGACUACCCGCUGAACUUAAGCAUAUCAAUAAGCGGAGGA
RNAcentral lists this ribosomal RNA (703 nucleotides) under uncultured Armillaria. Its description in RNAcentral is "eukaryotic LSU rRNA". The stretch from base 277 to 430 matches the Rfam family "5.8S ribosomal RNA". Lineage: Eukaryota; Fungi; Basidiomycota; Agaricomycetes; Agaricales; Tricholomataceae. The record is from RNAcentral.